Molecule: non-coding RNA, 30 nt
Filed under: Rattus norvegicus (Norway rat)
Lineage: Eukaryota; Metazoa; Chordata; Mammalia; Rodentia; Muridae
Source: RNAcentral
UGCUCACCUGUGUGGGUGUCCUCUUCUGGG